UGGGCGUAAGCGUGUGUAGGCGGUUCGGAAAGAAAGAUGUGAAAUCCCAGGGCUCAACCUUGGAACUGCAUUUUUAACUGCCGAGCUAGAGUAUGUCAGAGGGGGGUAGAAUUCCACGUGUAGCAGUGAAAUGCGUAGAUAUGUGGAGGAAUACCGAUGGCGAAGGCAGCCCCCUGGGAUAAUACUGACGCUCAGACACGAAAGCGUGGGGAGCAAACAGGAUUAGAUACCCUGGUAGUCCACGCCCUAAACGAUGUCAACUAGCUGUUGGGGCCGUUAGGCCUUAGUAGCGCAGCUAACGCGUGAAGUUGACCGCCUGGGGAGUACGGUCGCAAGAUUAAAACUCAAAGGAAUUGACGGGGACCCGCACAAGCGGUGGAUGAUGUGGAUUAAUUCGAUGCAACGCGAAAAACCUUACCUACCCUUGACAUGUCUGGAAAGCCGAAGAGAUUUGGCCGUGCUCGCAAGAGAACCGGAACACAGGUGCUGCAUGGCUGUCGUCAGCUCGUGUCGUGAGAUGUUGGGUUAAGUCCCGCAACGAGCGCAACCCUUGUCAUUAGUUGCUACGCAAGAGCACUCUAAUGAGACUGCCGGUGACAAACCGGAGGAAGGUGGGGAUGACGUCAAGUCCUCAUGGCCCUUAUGGGUAGGGCUUCACACGUCAUACAAUGGUCGGGACAGAGGGUCGCCAACCCGCGAGGGGGAGCCAAUCUCAGAAACCCGAUCGUAGUCCGGAUCGCAGUCUGCAACUCGACUGCGUGAAGUCGGAAUCGCUAGUAAUCGCGGAUCAGAAUGUCGCGGUGAAUACGUUCCCGGGUCUUGUACACACCGCCCGUCACACCAUGGGAGUGGGUUUCACCAGAAGUAGGUAGCCUAACCGCAAGGAGGGCGCUACC
RNAcentral lists this ribosomal RNA (896 nucleotides) under Alcaligenes faecalis. RNAcentral describes it as "bacterial SSU rRNA". It matches the Rfam family "Bacterial small subunit ribosomal RNA", at positions 555 to 1457 of the family's 1533-position model. Lineage: Bacteria; Pseudomonadati; Pseudomonadota; Betaproteobacteria; Burkholderiales; Alcaligenaceae. The record is from RNAcentral.